RNAcentral lists this long non-coding RNA (582 nucleotides) under Olea europaea subsp. europaea. Lineage: Eukaryota; Viridiplantae; Streptophyta; Magnoliopsida; Lamiales; Oleaceae. The record is from RNAcentral.
CAUGGCAUGGGAGUCAAGGAAAGGUAGUCUGACACCAUGUUACUUAUAAACUUCACAAGAUCGGAUUACUCCUCUUAAUACGAUUGACACACAAGUCUUAAUACGUCCAACCUGAAAGAUAAAACAGUUGGGAGAAGAAAAUAAUCGUUUACACCUCGCUAGCAUCUUCGAAAAGGGAAUUACCUGGAAUUGAGGACUUGCAUAAUUAUUGAAAAGAAAGCUGUUAAACACCCAUCCCUAUUAUAUAUCUUUAACCUAAUUUUCCUUGAAUCUCAGAAAGAAAAUAACCAAAAAGAGCAAUUCAUUCGAAUUCCUUUUAACAGUUAACCAACGAUCUGACCAAGUCCAUCUUUAAUUUACAUGGAAUAUGAUAAGUAAUUCAUACAGGAACAAGAUGAAUCUAAAAAAUCUUCAAAUCUUGGUAAAGAAGAGAUGGAUAUACCUAGUAAAAAGCAAGAAAACUCGAUCUGAAGCUAAUGUUUUGAUAGAUCUUUGUAUCUUAGAUUGCUGUGCUUAUAGAUUUUGAUGAAUAUGUGAGAUAUUUGAGCAAAAAGUAUGAACAACGUGGGGAGCAACAAAAAG